AUGCGCUGCGGCCGCUGCUAUGGGACGCCGUCCUCGGCAUGCUCCGCCACGUGUCGGACCUGGCGGCGUCCGGCGCCACGCGGCGUUCGCGUCCAUGAUGGACCUGCAGUGGCGCGUCAUGUUCUCUGCCAGCCUGGACGAGCCGACGUCCCGCGAGUUGCACGGCUUCGCGCGGGAGGCCGUGCGAGGCCGUGGCGCACUCCCUCAGGCCCAACGUCUCGGACUUCUUCCCGGCGCUCGCGGCUGCCGACCUCCAGCACGUCAGGCACGGUUUUACCACACACUUGGCGCCCUCUAUGGCGUGUGCGGCAUCUACGACAACAACGCCGGCGCCCUCAACGGCGUUCGCCGCGACAUGCUCUCCCAUGGCACGGCUCGCCCAUGCUCUUCAUCGACGAGACGAUCCCGGCGCGGAGCUUCUUCAAGUCGUGGCAGCCAGCGGCCGUUGCAGGCACCGAGGUGCCGCGCGCCAUCCUGGUGGUGCCGGCCCCCUAG
Molecule: ribosomal RNA, 495 nt
Filed under: Triticum aestivum (bread wheat)
Lineage: Eukaryota; Viridiplantae; Streptophyta; Magnoliopsida; Poales; Poaceae
Description: partial small subunit ribosomal RNA
Source: RNAcentral